This 497-nucleotide ribosomal RNA is filed under the name uncultured bacterium. Its description in RNAcentral is "partial 16S ribosomal RNA". It matches the Rfam family "Bacterial small subunit ribosomal RNA", at positions 28 to 507 of the family's 1533-position model. The record is from RNAcentral.
GAUGAACGCUGGCGGCGUGCCUAAUACAUGCAAGUCGAGCGAACAGGUGAGGAGCUUGCUCCUCUGACGUUAGCGGCGGACGGGUGAGUAACACGUGGAUAACCUACCUAUAAGACUGGGAUAACUACGGGAAACCGGAGCUAAUACCGGAUAAUAUAUUGAACCGCAUGGUUCAAUAGUGAAAGACGGUUUUGCUGUCACUUAUAGAUGGAUCCGCGCCGCAUUAGCUAGUUGGUAAGGUAACGGCUUACCAAGGCAACGAUGCGUAGCCGACCUGAGAGGGUGAUCGGCCACACUGGAACUGAGACACGGUCCAGACUCCUACGGGAGGCAGCAGUAGGGAAUCUUCCGCAAUGGGCGAAAGCCUGACGGAGCAACGCCGCGUGAGUGAUGAAGGUCUUCGGAUCGUAAAACUCUGUUAUUAGGGAAGAACAAAUGUGUAAGUAACUAUGCACGUCUUGACGGUACCUAAUCAGAAAGCCACGGCUAACUACGUG